AGUGAACGCUGGCGGUAGGCCUAACACAUGCAAGUCGAACGGCAGCACAGUAAGAGCUUGCUCUUACGGGUGGCGAGUGGCGGACGGGUGAGGAAUACAUCGGAAUCUACUUUUUCGUGGGGGAUAACGUAGGGAAACUUACGCUAAUACCGCAUACGACCUACGGGUGAAAGCAGGGGAUCUUCGGACCUUGCGCGAUUGAAUGAGCCGAUGUCGGAUUAGCUAGUUGGCGGGGUAAAGGCCCACCAAGGCGACGAUCCGUAGCUGGUCUGAGAGGAUGAUCAGCCACACUGGAACUGAGACACGGUCCAGACUCCUACGGGAGGCAGCAGUGGGGAAUAUUGGACAAUGGGCGCAAGCCUGAUCCAGCCAUACCGCGUGGGUGAAGAAGGCCUUCGGGUUGUAAAGCCCUUUUGUUGGGAAAGAAAAGCAGCAGGUUAAUACCCCGCUGUUCUGACGGUACCCAAAGAAUAAGCACCGGCCAACUUCGCG
Molecule: ribosomal RNA, 492 nt
Filed under: uncultured bacterium
Lineage: Bacteria
Description: partial 16S ribosomal RNA
Rfam family: Bacterial small subunit ribosomal RNA
Source: RNAcentral